UUAAGAUGCUGCUAUCCUUUGAUUUUAUUAUAUCUACAAAAGAAUGGAAAACCAGUAAUCUAAUAUAUGAACUCUAUAUAUAGAUAUGUAUAUUAUAGCAAAUACUAUGAUGCUAUAAAUUGAUGUAAUAUAAGUGAUGGCAAUGUAAGGUCUGAAGUACAGUGUAAAAGGGGGAAUAGUGGACUCUAGGUGCUCAUAGACAGCAGCUCUGAGGUCAGCUCAGCAGCUUGCACAUUUAGUUGAAGGAGCCCUUAAACACUUGUCUUGGUUCAGAAUAUGAGCCCUUGAAGGUAUUGGUUUGUGAGGCUUAAACUGGCUUUAGGGAGCCAGGCUGUGAUUGUGAUCGGCUGCAGCAGACAAGGAAAGGGCUGGGCUGAGCAUAUUUUGGGCCAUUGGUCAGUUCUUCUGUAAUCUACCAUCUCAAAUACCAUUGCUCCAGCCUAUUUAUCUGUAGCUUUACUAGCGAUAUGUACGUAGCUCCACAGACCCAGAGGUGCUAACAGUCUGCCAGCUAACCGGCCUUCUCAGAGCCGUAUGGGUGUUAACUAGGAAAGCCAUUAGGAGUUAGCUUGUGCUUUACCCCCCCCACUAAAAAUUAGCCAGCCAGAGCAAUGCUAAAGCUGUUUCUCCUUCCAGCUAGCCUGUCAAUUGAUGCAUUUGAAGUCUAUUCUCCUCUUUUCUCAUUUCCCACCCGUGAUUAUCUGUAAUUACCCUUUUUGCUCUGGCCACUUUUCUCUUGCUUUCGAUCCAUCCCAUCUGUCUGCCCAUGCACUACUCUCACUUUCCCUCUCUUGUCUCUCUCUCUCUCUCUAUUAAAAGGUGCUUUAUUGAUAUGUAAUCAGAGCAGUAGCAAGUCUGUGGUCUCUCCUCAGACGGACAUGUUCUCUGAGGACUUGAACUAAUGUUCACUAACCAAACAAGCCUUUGACAGGGCACAACUCAUCAGAACAGGGCAUUCUAACACACAUAACAGCCCCCUCACCUCCCACCCACCCAAGUCCCCGAAACCCUUUUUAACCCCAACCCGAAGCAACAAAGCCAAGGUACAACCCAAUACAUGCCCUGAUAAUCCAAAGAAGUCACCCUGACCUGCGUAAAUAAUGUGUGACAUGUCCACGUUUGUCGGGUGGGGUGCAGGGGGUAAAAGGGAUUGGAUGGGAGACGGAGGUAAUGAUUAGCUCUGAUUGGCAGCCUGUAACGUACCUCAGGGAUAAGGCCUCACAGAGGGGAGAUCUAAUCUUGUCAUCCCUAUUGCUGUCAUCAUUUAUCAUUUUAGCCUCUUUUCUUCUUUUUUUCUCUCUUCCUUCCCUUUGUUCUCUCAUUUUUGAUGCUGUAUCUUGUGCUCUGUCUGUGCUGUGCCUUGCUCCUGUAUGUGUCAGUAAGUAAAGUGGUUUACUAGCUUAAAAAACCUUUGCCAAAGUUGGUGGGAAAGUAAAGGUAGAGUUCUUUUCUAGGUUUUAUUUAUACUAUAUAUUUGCAUACAGUACUUUACAUGCCAAUUACAGUGCAAUCUUCAUUUAUUUAUUGUUAAAAGAUUAAGAGACAAGUGUAGUUAUAUACUAAUUUUUUCUUGUAGCAUGUUUUUUUCUUUUCUUUUGUUUUAAUGGAUGUAUGUUAGAUUGUAUGAUUAAGGCCAGCAUUCCUUAUCUCAGUAACCCUUUAAGUAUUUUUCUUACAGCUGUUGGGAACCUGUAGCUCAUCAGUCCAUGAAUUGCAGUUAUCAUUGCCGUUUCAAACAUUUAACCAAAUUGCCUAUGUAUUUUUAUUUUAUUUUAUUUUAUUUUUUACAUUUCCUGUUUUGGCUGUGCACAGGCGAGCAGUUCUUAAAACGCUUAGAGAGACAUGUAGCAAGCCAGGACUUAUGGUCAAUUCAAGUCAUCUGUUUUGGGAUAAACGUUGCUGCCUUUGGCUUUUGUUCUGAUUAGUGUUAUAAUGAAGCUUCUGGUAUCUAUUUUUACUGUUUUAAUGCCAAAUUGCAAACUUUUUAUGUCCACUAGUUGUUGCGUUUUGAAUCGUCUAAAGGGUUCUGUGAUGUUCUUCUGCAACGACACAGCAUUACGACUAUUAUCAUUAUUCUUUCAAAAGGAACAAAAAAACAUUAACUUGAUCUGUGAUAUUUCUUCUUUUCAUAUUAUCUUUUAUUGUUUUGUUUUGUAAAGCAAAAUGUGCCAUUAUGAAAUGUGUAGCCCCUUUUGGUGGAGUUUUUUUCCGUGUUUUUUUUUUUUUUUUUUUACACAACCGUGAUUUCACACUGAAAAGUAAAGAAAGCAAAAACAAUCAUACGAUGGUUUCCGGCAGAUGAUGAAAAUAAUAAUAUUGAUUAAUCCUUUUUCAGGCUUGUGCUGGUAUGGCAGUAGUGAGCGUUUUGUGUCCGUACAUUGCUAAGAGAUGAUAUACAGAGAUAUCUAUAGAGCUAUAGAAGAAGAUGGUAAAUUCAUUAUGACUAACAGAGUUGAAGCACUUUUUAUGCCAAGCAUUAGGCUUGUUGAGGUAAAUAUGAGCGAUAGGAAACGCAAUCCUUUGCUCUAUUCCAAACUCUACUGCCAACACUGUCUGUUACUUUUAUUGGCAUUAUUCUGUUAUUGGCAUCACUGUGACAUUGGCAUUGCUGGGGCGCAGUUCUGCGCUCUCUGCAGAAUGCACCGUACAGCCACAAAGAAAGGAAAGUUUAUAGGGAGUAUGGUGCCUUUGUCUGAUGUGUUCAUUUUGUAUCUGCCUGUUGCAUUGUAAUUGACAGGUGACUUGUGAGGUGUCCUUUCCUUAAACUUCUGAUGUUAUGUUGCCCAACACUACCCCUUUUUAAGCCUUAAUUCCCCAGUGGAAGAGCAGAGGUUUGCUUUGUGUAUGGUCAUUGUCAGGCCAGUUAUGCUAGUGUUAAAUAGUCCAAGGUUAGCACAGUGUUAACAAAAAGGCAUUGUGUUUGUGGGCAGGGUACUCCCUUGGUGUGCAUUGUUGGGGUUUUUUUGCAUUUUUUUCCCCCAAAUACAGGUGAUUUUAUAGAACCCCACCCUCCCUACUCACCACCCUGCAGGUCCUGUACAUUUGGCGGGUAUGUCAAGAGUGAGAGACAAUGUUUUGCCCAGCAACCCCACGUCUGUGCCUUCUGAUCAGUUUUUUUUCUUUCUUUUUUUUUUAAAUGUUUUGUACAUGUAGAGAUUUUGACUGAGAGAUUGGCGAUUUGACAAACAUACAGAGACUCACAGGUAUUUAACUAUUUUUUAAGUAAGACAAAAACAGAAACAUAUUUUUACCUCACAAUUCAAAAAUAAACAUUCCAACGUUGUCAUGGUCUACGAAUUGAGGAAAAAAAGAAAUUCAUGCAUUUCUUCUUGUAUUGUAAAUGUUAGACAAUUUCAUAUGCAUUAUAUAAAAGAAACUGCCAUAUCAAUUUUAAUGUAUAGAUUUUUGCAAAUACUACCCUAUGUAUGUAAGACGUAACUGUAUCGGUAGCGUAUAUAUAAUAUAUUUAUGCCCAAUAAAUGUUUUAAUUUUUUUCUGUC
Molecule: long non-coding RNA, 3500 nt
Organism: Oreochromis aureus
Lineage: Eukaryota; Metazoa; Chordata; Actinopteri; Cichliformes; Cichlidae
Source: Ensembl